Molecule: ribosomal RNA, 1348 nt
Filed under: uncultured bacterium
Lineage: Bacteria
Description: bacterial SSU rRNA
Rfam family: Bacterial small subunit ribosomal RNA
Source: RNAcentral
GACGAACGCUGGCGGCGUGCUUAACACAUGCAAGUCGAACGAUGGAGCGGUGCUUGCACCGUGGAUUAGUGGCGAACGGGUGAGUAAUACAUGAGUGACCUACCUUUGACUCUGGGAUAAGCCUGGGAAACUGGGUCUAAUACCGGAUACGACCAAUCUCUGCAUGGGGUGUUGGUGGAAAGCGUUAUGGAGUGGUUUUAGAUGGGCUCACGGCCUAUCAGCUUGUUGGUGAGGUAAUGGCUUACCAAGGCGACCACUGGUAGCCGGCCUGAGAGGGUGACCGGCCGCGCUGGGACUGAGACACAGCCCCAGACUCCUACGGGAGGCAGCAGUGGGGAAUAUUGCACAAUGGGUGCAAGCCUGAUGCAACGACACCACGUGAGGGAUGACGGCCUUCGGGUUGUAACCCUCUGUUAGCAUCUAAUAAGCAAAAGUGACGGUAGGUGCAGAGAAACCGCCGGCUAACUACCUGCCAGCAGCCGCGGUAAUAUGUUCGGCGCGAGCGGUGUUCCGGAUUAUUUGCGCGUAAACAUGCUUGUAGGCGGUUGGUCGCGUCUGCUGUGAAGGCCGGGGCUUAACUCCGGUUUUGCAGUGGGUACGGGCUAACUAGAGUGCAGUAGGGGAGACUGGAAUUCCUGGUGUAGCGGUGGAAUGCACAGAUAUCAGGAGGAACACCGAUGGCGAAGGCAGGUCUCUGGGCUGUAACUGACGCUGAGAAGCGAAAGCAUGGGGAGCGAACAGGAUUAGAUACCCUGGUAGUCCAUGCCGUAAACGUUGGGCACUAGGUGUGGGGGACAUUCCACGUUUUCCGCGCCGUAGCUAACGCAUUAAGUGCCCCGCCUGGGGAGUACGGCCGCAAGGCUAAAACUCAAAGGAAUUGACGGGGGCCCGCACAAGCGGCGGAGCAUGCGGAUUAAUUCGAUGCAACGCGAAGAACCUUACCAAGGCUUGACAUGCAUUAGAUCGCGUCAGAGAUGGCGUUUCCCUUCGGGGCUGGUGUACAGGUGGUGCAUGGUUGUCGUCAGCUCGUGUCGUGAGAUGUUGGGUUAAGUCCCGCAACGAGCGUAACCCUCGUUCUAUGUUGCCAGCGGUUCAGCCGGGGACUCAUAGGAGACUGCCGGGGUCAACUCGGAGGAAGGUGGGGAUGACGUCAAAUCAUCAUGCCCCUUAUGUCUUGGGCUUCACGCAUGCUACAAUGGCCGGUACAGAGGGUUGCGAUACUGUGAGGUGGAGCUAAUCCCUUAAAGCCGGUCUCAGUUCGGAUUGGGGUCUGCAACUCGACCCCAUGAAGUCGGAGUCGCUAGUAAUCGCAGAUCAGCAACGCUGCGGUGAAUACGUUCCCGGGCCU